ACGCACGCUGGCGGCGUGCCUCAUACAUGCAAGUUGAGCGCUGAAGGUUGGUACUUGUACCGACUGGAUGAGCAGCGAACGGGUGAGUAACGCGUGGGGAAUCUGCCUUUGAGCGGGGGACAACAUUUGGAAACGAAUGCUAAUACCGCAUAAAAACUUUAAACACAAGUUUUAAGUUUGAAAGAUGCAAUUGCAUCACUCAAAGAUGAUCCCGCGUUGUAUUAGCUAGUUGGUGAGGUAAAGGCUCACCAAGGCGAUGAUACAUAGCCGACCUGAGAGGGUGAUCGGCCACAUUGGGACUGAGACACGGCCCAAACUCCUACGGGAGGCAGCAGUAGGGAAUCUUCGGCAAUGGACGAAAGUCUGACCGAGCAACGCCGCGUGAGUGAAGAAGGUUGUCGGAUCGUAAAACUCUGUUGGUAGAGAAGAACGUUGGUGAGAGUGGAAAGCUCAUCAGGUGACGGUAACUACCCAGAAAGGGACGGCUAACUACGUG
This 496-nucleotide ribosomal RNA is filed under the name uncultured bacterium. Its description in RNAcentral is "partial 16S ribosomal RNA". It matches the Rfam family "Bacterial small subunit ribosomal RNA", at positions 29 to 507 of the family's 1533-position model. The record is from RNAcentral.